CUGGGCUGCUGUCUUGUCUGCAGUUCGAGCGGGAGUACGGUUUAGCGGCGGAGGGGUGAGUAAUGCGUAGGAGGCUAGCCGAGAGAGGGGGAGACCAGCUGGAAACGACUGUUAAUACCGCACAAUGUCUACGGACUAAAGAGCGGUACCCUCGGGCAGAUGCUGUCGGAUGCGCCUACGUGGGAUUAGCUAGUUGGUGAGGUAAUGGCUCACCAAGGCGACGAUCCCUAGCUGGUUUGAGAGGAUGAUCAGCCACACUGGAACUGAGACACGGUCCAGACUCCUACGGGAGGCAGCAGUGGGGAAUAUUGGACAAUGGGCGCAAGCCUGAUCCAGCCAUGCCGCGUGUGUGAAGAAGGCCUUCGGGUUGUAAAGCACUUUCAGUAGGGAGGAAGAGUUGAGUGUUAAUAGUACUCAGCUUUGACGUUACCUACAGAAGAAGCACCGGCUAACUCUGUGCCAGCAGCCGCGGUAAUACAGAGGGUGCAAGCGUUAAUCGGAAUUACUGGGCGUAAAGCGCACGCAGCGGUUGGUUAAGUCAGAUGUGAAAGCCCCGGGCUCAACCUGGGAAUUGCAUUUGAAACUGGCCAACUAGAGUACGUGAGAGGGGGGUAGAAUUCCCAGUGUAGCGGUGAAAUGCGUAGAGAUUUGGAGGAAUACCAGUGGCGAAAGCGGCGCCCCUGGCACGAUACUGACGCUCAUGUGCGAAAGCGGUGGGGGAGCAAACAAGAUUAGAUACCCUGGUAGUCCGACGCCCGUAAACGAUGUCUACUAGCUGUUCGUGGUCUUGUACUGGUGAGUAGCGCAGCUAACGCACUAAGUAGACCGCCUGGGGGGAGUACGUCGCAGAUUAAGACUCCAAUGAAGUGACGCGCCCGUCACAAGCCGUGAGACAUGUGUUUAUUCGACGCCAUCGCGAGAACUUACUACUCUUGACAUCUACGAGAUUGUAAAGAUACGAAUUGGUGCUUCAGUACGCUAGAAUGUGCUGCCAUGACUGUUCUCAGCCUCAGGUUGUCAAAGUUUAGUAAGUUCCCGCAACGAAGGCCGAACCUUAUCCUCACUUGCAUCGAUAUGUCCGGCA
This 1084-nucleotide ribosomal RNA is filed under the name Rheinheimera chironomi. RNAcentral's name for it is "bacterial SSU rRNA". It matches the Rfam family "Bacterial small subunit ribosomal RNA", at positions 62 to 1136 of the family's 1533-position model. Lineage: Bacteria; Pseudomonadati; Pseudomonadota; Gammaproteobacteria; Chromatiales; Chromatiaceae. RNAcentral also lists the same sequence under 1 other name. The record is from RNAcentral.